UGGCGAAAGGGCGAGGAACGCGUGGGCAAUCUGCCCUGAAGACUGGGAUAACCCGCCGAAAGGUGGGCUAAUACCGGAUGUGGUCGCCUCGGGCAUCCGAGGUUGACUGAAGGCGGGGAUCUUUGGACCUAUCACUUCAGGAUGAGCCCGCGUCCCAUCAGCUAGUUGGUGAGGUAACGGCCCACCAAGGCUUACGGGUAGCUGGUCCGAGAGGAUGGUCAGCCGCACUGGGACUGAGACACUGCCCAGACUCCUACGGGAGGCUGCAGUCGAGGAUCUUUUGCAAUGGGCGCAAGCCUGACAAAGCGACGCUGCGUGGAGGAUGAAGGCCUUCGGGUUGUAAACUCCUGUCAUUCGGGAACAAGGAAGGGGGAAUAAUACUCCUCUGACUUGAUGGUACCGGAAGAGGAAGCCACGGCUAACUCUGUGCCAGCAGCCGCGGUAAUACAGAGGUGGCGAGCGUUGUUCGGAUUUACUGGGCGUAAAGGGUGCGUAGGUGGUGCCGCAUGUCGGACGUGAAAUCUCACCGCUUAACGGUGAAACUGCAUUCGAAACUGCGGUGCUAGAGUACAGGAUGGGAGAGCGGAAUUCUCGGUGUAGCGGUGAAAUGCGUUGAUAUCGAGAGGAACACCGGUGGCGAAGGCGGCUCUCUGGAAUGAUACUGACACUGAGGCACGAAAGCUGGGGGAGCAAACAGGAUUAGAUACCCUGGUAGUCCCAGCCCUAAACGGUGUGCACUUGGUGUGGGGAGAUUUGACCCUCUCCGUGCCGGAGCUAACGCGUUAAGUGCACCGCCUGGGGAGUACGGCCGCAAGGCUAAACUCAAGAAAUUGACGGGGGCCCGCACAGCGGAGGAGCAUGUGCUUAUUCG
This 871-nucleotide ribosomal RNA is filed under the name uncultured bacterium. RNAcentral's name for it is "bacterial SSU rRNA". It matches the Rfam family "Bacterial small subunit ribosomal RNA", at positions 96 to 953 of the family's 1533-position model. The record is from RNAcentral.